RNAcentral lists this ribosomal RNA (253 nucleotides) under uncultured bacterium. RNAcentral's name for it is "partial 16S ribosomal RNA". It matches the Rfam family "Bacterial small subunit ribosomal RNA", at positions 524 to 776 of the family's 1533-position model. The record is from RNAcentral.
UACAGAGGGGGCAAGCGUUGUUCGGAAUUACUGGGCGUAAAGGGCGCGUAGGCGGCCUUCUAAGUCGAACGUGAAAUCCCCGGGCUCAACCCGGGAACUGCGUCCGAUACUGGAAGGCUUGAAUCCGGGAGAGGGAUGCGGAAUUCCAGGUGUAGCGGUGAAAUGCGUAGAUAUCUGGAGGAACACCGGUGGCGAAGGCGGCAUCCUGGACCGACACUGACGCUGAGGCGCGAAAGCUAGGGGAGCAAACAGG